This 591-nucleotide ribosomal RNA is filed under the name Pasteurella atlantica. RNAcentral describes it as "partial 23S ribosomal RNA". It matches the Rfam family "Bacterial large subunit ribosomal RNA", at positions 192 to 823 of the family's 2925-position model. The record is from RNAcentral. Lineage: Bacteria; Pseudomonadati; Pseudomonadota; Gammaproteobacteria; Pasteurellales; Pasteurellaceae. RNAcentral also lists the same sequence under 1 other name.
ACUGAAACAUCUAAGUACCCCGAGGAAAAGAAAUCAACCGAGAUUCUGUGAGUAGCGGCGAGCGAAAGUGGAAGAGCCAGUUAGUUUUAGCAUUUGUAUUAAGAGAAUGAGUUGGGAAACUCAAUCAAAGAGGGUGAUAAUCCCGUAUCUGAAAAUGCAAUUGUGGAACUAAGCUAACGAUAAGUAGGGCGGGACACGUGAUAUCCUGUUUGAAGAUGGGGGGACCAUCCUCCAAGGCUAAAUACUCCUGAUUGACCGAUAGUGAACAAGUACUGUGAAGGAAAGGUAAAAAGAACCCCUGCGAGGGGAGUGAAAUAGAACCUGAAACCGUGUACGUACAAGCAGUAGGAGCAACUUCGUGUUGUGACUGCGUACCUUUUGUAUAAUGGGUCAGCGACUUAUAUUUUGUAGCAAGGUUAACCGAAUAGGGGAGCCGUAGGGAAACCGAGUCUUAACUGGGCGUUUAGUUGCAAGGUAUAGACCCGAAACCCGGUGAUCUAGCCAUGGGCAGGUUGAAGGUUGGGUAACACUAACUGGAGGACCGAACCGACUAAUGUUGAAAAAUUAGCGGAUGACUUGUGGCUGGGGGUG